UUUUUUUUGGAUGCUUCUGGAGUUCUGGAUUGUUAUUUAUGCAUGAGCGGGCUGCAGCACUUCUAGCCUUGUUUGCCUUCUCUAGCUCGUGUAGGUCUCUUAUUGUUGCUGCUAUCAAGUGCUCGAUUGGAUAUUGCUUACUUCAUGUCUGCUUUUUGUCGAUUGCUGGCUUGGAGAGUUGUAUGAAAAAUAAAUAAAAAAGUACAAGAUGAUAAUAAUGUUGUCUGAGUUGUAUCACUUAUGGGCAUGCAAAUAAUUGCAUCAUGUUGCACCUUGCUAUUUUCCAUUGUAGACCGAAGAUCCUGUUGGAAAUCCAGGUUGGGCAUGACUGAGCCAAGGAUCAGUGAACUUCAUAUGAUAAAGAAGCGGAAAAUUCUACGAGAUAUGACAUGCCCAGAAUUCUGCAGUGGUGCUGGAAAGAAAUGAAGAUCUCAGAAUUGCUUACAUUGAUGUUGUCGAGAGCAUUAGGAAUGGAAAGCCUAGCACUGAGUAUUACUUGAAGCUUGUUAAAUAUGACAUACAUGGAAAGGACAAGGUCAAAUAUUUGUGGGUGAUUACAGUUAGCAAGGGCUUCACCAAUCUGAGAGCGGCAAACAUGCAAAGAUACACCCCGUAGGUAGGAGGAAGUAAAACUACUUGUCUUCAAUCAGAAUGAGGUUCGCAGGGUACGUGCAAGACCCGCUCUUCCCCGAGAACAUACCAGGACUGCCAUCGCAAGUUGGUGUCCCU
Molecule: long non-coding RNA, 729 nt
Organism: Lolium rigidum
Lineage: Eukaryota; Viridiplantae; Streptophyta; Magnoliopsida; Poales; Poaceae
Exons: 4
Source: RefSeq, a predicted model, not a curated record